This 328-nucleotide ribosomal RNA is filed under the name uncultured eukaryote. RNAcentral describes it as "partial 18S ribosomal RNA". It matches the Rfam family "Eukaryotic small subunit ribosomal RNA", at positions 1470 to 1796 of the family's 1831-position model. The record is from RNAcentral.
CCCUUAGAUGUCCUGGGCCGCACGCGCGCUACACUGAUGCAUGCAACGAGUUUAUAACCUUGGCCUGAAAGGUCUGGGUAAUCUUUUGAACGUGCAUCGUGAUAGGGAUAGAUUAUUGCAAUUGUUAAUCUUGAACGAGGAAUUCCUAGUAAACGCGAGUCAUCAGCUCGCAUUGAUUACGUCCCUGCCCUUUGUACACACCGCCCGUCGCACCUACCGAUUGAAUGGUUCGGUGAAGAUCUCGGACUUCGAUAUUUAUUCUUUAUUGAAUUUAUAUUGUGGGAAGUUAUCUAAACCUCAUCAUUUAGAGGAAGGUGAAGUCGUAACA